This 180-nucleotide unclassified non-coding RNA is filed under the name uncultured Gigasporaceae. Its description in RNAcentral is "sequence contains ITS2". RNAcentral also lists the same sequence under 1 other name. The record is from RNAcentral. Lineage: Eukaryota; Fungi; Glomeromycota; Glomeromycetes; Diversisporales; Gigasporaceae.
AAAUAUAUAUCGUUACAUCUUUUUUGGUGUUGCGGAUCUGGGUUAUCCGGUUUUAAGUCGGUUACCUAAAAAUUAUUAUUGUAAUGUGAUACGUACUAAGAUAAAAAGUCGUUAAUCAUUAAAAUUUAAUAUAUGUUACCUCUAAUUAUUUUUAGUUGGUAAUGUAUAUAUAAUUUUUGA